This 225-nucleotide ribosomal RNA is filed under the name Staphylococcus aureus. RNAcentral's name for it is "partial 16S ribosomal RNA". It matches the Rfam family "Bacterial small subunit ribosomal RNA", at positions 1 to 220 of the family's 1533-position model. The record is from RNAcentral. Lineage: Bacteria; Bacillati; Bacillota; Bacilli; Caryophanales; Staphylococcaceae.
UUUUAUGGAGAGUUUGAUCCUGGCUCAGGAUGAACGCUGGCGGCGUGCCUAAUACAUGCAAGUCGAGCGAACGGACGAGAAGCUUGCUUCUCUGAUGUUAGCGGCGGACGGGUGAGUAACACGUGGAUAACCUACCUAUAAGACUGGGAUAACUUCGGGAAACCGGAGCUAAUACCGGUUUAUAUUUUUAACAGGUUGGUUGAAUAGUGAGAGACGGGCCUGCUG